UGGGGAAUAUUGCACAAUGGGCGGAAGCCUGAUGCAGCAACGCCGCGUGCGGGAUGACGGCCUUCGGGUUGUAAACCGCUUUCGCCUGUGACGAAGCGUGAGUGACGGUAAUGGGUAAAGAAGCACCGGCUAACUACGUGCCAGCAGCCGCGGUGAUACGUAGGGUGCGAGCGUUGUCCGGAUUUAUUGGGCGUAAAGGGCUCGUAGGUGGUUGAUCGCGUCGGAAGUGUAAUCUUGGGGCUUAACCCUGAGCGUGCUUUCGAUACGGGUUGACUUGAGGAAGGUAGGGGAGAAUGGAAUUCCUGGUGGAGCGGUGGAAUGCGCAGAUAUCAGGAGGAACACCAGUGGCGAAGGCGGUUCUCUGGGCCUUUCCUGACGCUGAGGAGCGAAAGCGUGGGGAGCGAACAGGCUUAGAUACCCUGGUAGUCCACGCUGUAAACGGUGGGUACUAGGUGUGGGGGUCCAUUCCACGGGUUCCGCGCCGUAGCUAACGCUUUAAGUACCCCGCCUGGGGAGUACGGCCGCAAGGCUAAAACUUAAAUGAAUUGACGGGGUCAUAGCUGUUUCCU
Molecule: ribosomal RNA, 569 nt
Filed under: uncultured bacterium
Lineage: Bacteria
Description: partial 16S ribosomal RNA
Rfam family: Bacterial small subunit ribosomal RNA
Source: RNAcentral